This is a non-coding RNA of Pelobates cultripes (western spadefoot toad), 384 nucleotides long. The record is from the annotation of a GenBank genome assembly. Lineage: Eukaryota; Metazoa; Chordata; Amphibia; Anura; Pelobatidae.
AGGGUUCCACAACUUUUCAACAAAAAACAUCAUGAACUAUGGGAAUCUAACGUGAUAGACCGAGGGUGGGCAAAACAGCAAGUUUCAACUGGUCUGGCAGUGUACCUGGGACAACGCCCUGCUGGAGAACAAUAAACAGGAAACGGGGAGGGGAAGAGACACAUCUUCCCAUGGACUCAAAUGGGCAGAAACAGUCUUUUAGAAGCCAAUAAGCCCCAAAUAGUCUUUUUUAAAUGGCAAUACACCCCAGGGCCAUAGUCAUGAGGAAGGAGGCUGACAAUCAGGCUCCUCCAACAGCCAGGGGCAAAGGGCAGUUGGUCAUAUAAAAAUCCAGUGGCAAAAGGCAUUUUGUCACAAAGUCUUACAAGAACCUAUUCAAUUACC